Molecule: ribosomal RNA, 694 nt
Filed under: uncultured bacterium
Lineage: Bacteria
Description: bacterial SSU rRNA
Rfam family: Bacterial small subunit ribosomal RNA
Source: RNAcentral
GGGAUAACCCGGAGAAAUCCGGCCUAAUACCGCAUGUGGCCGAGGGGAGGCAUCUUCUUUCGGCCAAAGGAGGCGACUCCGGAGACGGAUGGGCAUGCGUGACAUUAGCUUGUUGGCGGGGUAACGGCCCACCAAGGCGACGAUGUCUAGGGGUUCUGAGAGGAAGGUCCCCCACACUGGUACUGAGACACGGACCAGACUCCUACGGGAGGCAGCAGUGAGGAAUAUUGGUCAAUGGGCGAGAGCCUGAACCAGCCAAGUCGCGUGAAGGAUGACGGCCCUACGGGUUGUAAACUUCUUUUGUCAGGGAGCAAUUGAGUCCACGUGUGGGCUUAGCGAGAGUACCUGAAGAAAAAGCAUCGGCUAACUCCGUGCCAGCAGCCGCGGUAAUACGGAGGAUGCGAGCGUUAUCCGGAUUUAUUGGGUUUAAAGGGUGCGUAGGCGGAAUAUCAAGUCAGCGGUAAAAAUUCGGGGCUCAACCCCGUCGUGCCGUUGAAACUGAUGUUCUUGAGUGGGCGAGAAGUAUGCGGAAUGCGUGGUGUAGCGGUGAAAUGCAUAGAUAUCACGCAGAACUCCGAUUGCGAAGGCAGCAUACCGGCGCCCAACUGACGCUGAAGCACGAAAGCGUGGGUAUCGAACAGGAUUAGAUACCCUGGUAGUCCACGCAGUAAACGAUGAAUACUAAUUGUCCGGA